AUUAGCUAAUUUUUGUAAGCACCUCUGUCAUCUUAUCUCAGAAGCUUAGUGUAGUCAAGGUUGGUUAGUGCUUGGAUAGGAGACUGCCUAGGAAUAUGAGAUAGUAAACA
Molecule: ribosomal RNA, 110 nt
Filed under: Salvator merianae (Argentine black and white tegu)
Lineage: Eukaryota; Metazoa; Chordata; Lepidosauria; Squamata; Teiidae
Source: RNAcentral